CAGUAGCCACGGUAAUACGUAGGUGGCAAGCGUUGUCCGGAAUUAUUGGGCGUAAAGGGCUCGCAGGCGGUUUCUUAAGUCUGAUGUGAAAGCCCCCGGCUCAGCCGGGGAGGGUCAUUGGAAACUGGGAAACUUGAGUGCAGAAGAGGAGAGUGGAAUUCCACGUGUAGCGGUGAAAUGCGUAGAGAUGUGGAGGAACACCAGUGGCGAAGGCGACUCUCUGGUCUGUAACUGACGCUGAGGAGCGAAAGCGUGGGGAGCAAACAGGAUUAGAGACCCCCGUAGUCCCUGUCUCUUAUAC
RNAcentral lists this ribosomal RNA (301 nucleotides) under uncultured bacterium. RNAcentral describes it as "partial 16S ribosomal RNA". It matches the Rfam family "Bacterial small subunit ribosomal RNA", at positions 509 to 807 of the family's 1533-position model. The record is from RNAcentral.